Molecule: ribosomal RNA, 502 nt
Filed under: uncultured bacterium
Lineage: Bacteria
Description: partial 16S ribosomal RNA
Rfam family: Bacterial small subunit ribosomal RNA
Source: RNAcentral
AUUGAACGCUGGCGGAAUGCUUUACACAUGCAAGUCGAACGGCAGCACGGGAGCUUGCUCCUGGUGGCGAGUGGCGAACGGGUGAGUAAUACAUCGGAACGUACCCUGACGUGGGGGAUAACACAUCGAAAGAUGUGCUAAUACCGCAUACGACCUGAGGGUGAAAGGGGGGGAUCGCAAGACCUCUCGCGUUUGGAGCGGCCGAUGUCGGAUUAGCUAGUUGGUGGGGUAAAGGCCUACCAAGGCGACGAUCCGUAGCUGGUCGGAGAGGAUGAUCAGCCACACUGGGACUGAGACACGGCCCAGACUCCUACGGGAGGCAGCAGUGGGGAAUUUUGGACNNUGGGGGCAACCCUGNUCCAGCCAUUCCGCGUGAGUGAAGAAGGCCUUCGGGUUNUAAAGCUCUUUCGGCAGGAACGAAACGGUGGGUCCUAAUACNAUCNGCUAAUGACGGUACCUGAAGAAGAAGCACCGGCUAACUACGUGCCAGCAGCCGCCGUAA